Molecule: ribosomal RNA, 449 nt
Filed under: uncultured soil bacterium
Lineage: Bacteria
Description: bacterial SSU rRNA
Rfam family: Bacterial small subunit ribosomal RNA
Source: RNAcentral
AGAACGAACGCUGGCGGCAUGCCUAAUACAUGCAAGUCGAACGAACACUUCGGUGUUAGUGGCGCACGGGUGCGUAACGCGUGGGAAUCUGCCCUUGGGUUCGGAAUAACAGUUGGAAACGACUGCUAAUACCGGAUGAUGACGAAAGUCCAAAGAUUUAUCGCCCAGGGAUGAGCCCGCGUAGGAUUAGCUAGUUGGUGAGGUAAAGGCUCACCAAGGCGACGAUCCUUAGCUGGUCUGAGAGGAUGAUCAGCCACACUGGGACUGAGACACGGCCCAGACUCCUACGGGAGGCAGCAGUAGGGAAUAUUGGACAAUGGGCGCAAGCCUGAUCCAGCAAUGCCGCGUGAGUGAUGAAGGCCUUAGGGUUGUAAGCUCUUUACCCGAGAUGAUAAUGACUAGUAGUCGGAGAAGUAACGCCCCGACUAACGUCCGUGCCAGCACGCCGC